UCGACGAUGAAUCUUCUAGCUUGCUAGAAGUGGAUUAGUGGCGCACGGGUGAGUAAUGCAUAGGUUAUGUGCCCUUUAGUCUGGGAUAGCCACUGGAAACGGUGAUUAAUACUGGAUACUCCCUACGGGGGAAAGUUUUUCGCUAAAGGAUCAGCCUAUGUCCUAUCAGCUUGUUGGUGAGGUAAUGGCUCACCAAGGCUAUGACGGGUAUCCGGCCUGAGAGGGUGAUCGGACACACUGGAACUGAGACACGGUCCAGACUCCUACGGGAGGCAGCAGUAGGGAAUAUUGCUCAAUGGGGGAAACCCUGAAGCAGCAACGCCGCGUGGAGGAUGAAGGUUUUAGGAUUGUAAACUCCUUUUGUUAGAGAAGAUUAUGACGGUAUCUAACGAAUAAGCACCGGCUAACUCCGUGCCAGCAGCCGCGGUAAUACGGAGGGUGCAAGCGUUACUCGGAAUCACUGGGCGUAAAGAGUGCGUAGGCGGGGUAAUAAGUCAGAUGUGAAAUCCUGUAGCUUAACUACAGAACUGCAUUUGAAACUGUUACUCUGGAGUGUGGGAGAGGUAGGUGGAAUUCUUGGUGUAGGGGUAAAAUCCGUAGAGAUCAAGAGGAAUACUCAUUGCGAAGGCGACCUGCUGGAACAUUACUGACGCUGAUGCACGAAAGCGUGGGGAGCAAACAGGAUUAGAUACCCUGGUAGUCCACGCCCUAAACGAUGGAUGCUAGUUGUUGCCAUGCUUGUCAGGGCAGUAAUGCAGCUAACGCAUUAAGCAUCCCGCCUGGGGAGUACGGUCGCAAGAUUAAAACUCAAAGGAAUAGACGGGGACCCGCACAAGCGGUGGAGCAUGUGGUUUAAUUC
This 859-nucleotide ribosomal RNA is filed under the name uncultured bacterium. RNAcentral describes it as "bacterial SSU rRNA". It matches the Rfam family "Bacterial small subunit ribosomal RNA", at positions 62 to 952 of the family's 1533-position model. The record is from RNAcentral.